UACGAAGGGGGCUAGCGUUGCUCGGAAUCACUGGGCGUAAAGGGUGCGUAGGCGGCCCUGUAAGUCAGUGCUGAAAUAUCCCGGCUUAACCGGGAGGGUGGCAUUGAUACUGCAGGGCUUGAGUACAGAUGAAGUAGGCGGAAUUGACGGUGUAGCGGUGAAAUGCAUAGAUAUCGUCAAGAACACCGAUAGCGAAGGCAGCUUACUAAGCUGUAACUGACGCUGAGGCACGAAAGUGUGGGGAUCAAACAGG
RNAcentral lists this ribosomal RNA (253 nucleotides) under uncultured bacterium. Its description in RNAcentral is "partial 16S ribosomal RNA". It matches the Rfam family "Bacterial small subunit ribosomal RNA", at positions 524 to 776 of the family's 1533-position model. The record is from RNAcentral.